Molecule: ribosomal RNA, 253 nt
Filed under: uncultured bacterium
Lineage: Bacteria
Description: partial 16S ribosomal RNA
Rfam family: Bacterial small subunit ribosomal RNA
Source: RNAcentral
GACGAAGGAUCCAAGCGUUAUCCGGAUUCAUUGGGUUUAAAGGGUGCGUAGGCGGGUUUGUAAGUCAGUGGUGAAAGCCGGCAGCUCAACUGUCGAAUUGCCAUUGAUACUGCAGACCUAGAAUAUAGAUGAUGUUGGCGGAAUAUGACAUGUAGCGGUGAAAUGCAUAGAUAUGUCAUAGAACACCGAUUGCGAAGGCAGCUGACAAAACUAUAAUUGACGCUGAUGCACGAAAGUGCGGGGAUCAAACAGG